CAUGAACUGAAACCCCUGAAAUGGCCCCAGGACAGCUUCUCUUGGAGACUCAGCUCAUUGGUGUUUUCCCCAAUUUCAAGAUCACAGAAUGAAUGAAGCCCAAGAGGAAGGGGCCAAGGAGAGCAACUGGGAUUUGUAGGAGCUGGACCCUUGGGCCAGUCUGUUCCUCUCAAGAUGCUAGAAGAAGAGUUCCUG
This is a non-coding RNA of Castor canadensis (American beaver), 195 nucleotides long. NCBI's taxonomy places the organism in Eukaryota, Metazoa, Chordata, Mammalia, Rodentia, Castoridae. The record is from RefSeq and is a predicted model, not a curated record.